This 364-nucleotide long non-coding RNA is filed under the name Ananas comosus (pineapple). Its description in RNAcentral is "long non-coding RNA (ACOM_LNC011309)". The record is from RNAcentral. Lineage: Eukaryota; Viridiplantae; Streptophyta; Magnoliopsida; Poales; Bromeliaceae.
GGAAAAAAAAAAAAAAAAGGUAAGGGUGUGUUUGGUUCCACGUAAAACUGUGGAAAAAAAAUUUUCGGUGAAAAAAAAAUUUUCGGUAGAAAAAUAAUUUUACGUCGUUAGUGUUUGGUUUGUUGGAAAAAAAAUAGUUUUCCAUGAAGCUUGUUUGGUUGGAAGAAAAAAAUAGAUGAAAAACUAUUUAAUAUAUUUUAUUAUAUAAUAUUAAUAUAUAAUAAUUAAUAUAUUUUAUAUAUUAUUAUAAUUUUUAUAUACAUAUUAAAUAUAUUUAAAAUUAUAAUAAACAUAUUACAUCAUAUAUAAUAUAUUUAGAAAUAUUAAUAAAUAAUUACAAAUUUAUAAAUAAAAUAUUAUAUAN